This is a long non-coding RNA of Marmota monax (woodchuck), 2886 nucleotides long. RefSeq lists it as uncharacterized. The transcript has 7 exons. The record is from RefSeq and is a predicted model, not a curated record. Lineage: Eukaryota; Metazoa; Chordata; Mammalia; Rodentia; Sciuridae.
ACCACUGACUCAUUCUUGCUUUAUCCUAAGUGUAUAUGUACAUUUUGGUUAAAAUCAUGGACUUUGGAGUCAUGGAAUCUCUGCUUCAGCACUUAUGUGACGUGUGGCCUCAGUCCUCUCAUCUGUAAAGCUGGGACUCAGUCUCCUUCAGAAGAUGAGAUAUUGCUUUCCAGACAUCAUUUUUCUCUUCCUGGUCUCCCCAGAGCUCAAUAAAGCAGGUUUACUGGAUUGCAAAUCUUCAGAAAAUGGAGAAACAGAGCAGAACCACAAUCACGGACAAAGAAGACUUUGUUUACAGAUGCCCUAGGCCCAUUCAUAGGCAGUUUGCUUCACCAAGAUGCUGCGUCCCAUUGGUCUAGUCAAACCAGAAUCAGAACACAAAGAAAUCUAUUGAUGGUACCUGAAGAGGGCAGCCACUGGGAAAAGAGGUGGUAGAGAAAUGUGGAGAGUAUAUAUGAAAUGGAAAAAAAAGAGUUGUUUUACUUAAACUAUAAACAAGAGAAUGUUCUGGUUUUUCAGUCCAUCAAAGCAUCAGGUCUGCUUCCUCAUCCAGGGUGAUGCAUUGAAUUGUGACACACAGGGGGCAGUGAAAUUAACUAUCUUUCCCGUGAGAAAUAAUUCAUCAUUCAGGGUUUGCUACUAAUGUGCCUCUGUUGCUAGUAAAUGAAGUCAUAUGAAGUGUACAGAAGCUGUGGAACAGAUGGGCAGUACAUAAAUAUCAUUUAUGGAUCAUAAUGGCAACAGCAAUCAUUUUCUCAUUUAUAAAUGGGAGGCAUUUGGACUGCAGUAAAGAAAAUGUUGGAAUAUCUUAUUGUGGAACAAUGUAGCAGAUGGAUAAGAAAUAUAGGAAACUCCUGGGAGUUCACCAGCAUUUAUGGUAUCGUGAAAAUGUGACAGUAAGAGCAGUCACAAAAAAACAGCAGGUCAUGGCCUGCAGAGAUGGCCAACUCAGAAAUUUGACUGUUUCAUGUGUUUAGAUGUUAUAAUUUAAUUUAACACAGAUGCUGAGCCAACUUAUGCUCUAAUGAUAAUAUAUUUGAUAUGUUCAACUUUGUUGUAAUCAAAAUUCAAUUUCUUGUGGAAUUAAAUAAUUGAAAUAUGUUGUGGCAUUUAUUAUCCCCAAAUGACAAAAAUCAAACAGACAACCAAGUGGCACCAGCUUCAAAUGAAAGCAAAGUGGACUGGGGCCAAAGAUGAAGAAGGCCGAAUGGCAAAUAGAAGCCCUACCAGGAGACUGAGAUUGGAGGGUUUGUGUUUAAGACCAUGAUCCUCUGCAGUGAGACAGCUCUGUCCACAGGCUUUGGAAGAAUAAAUUGUGUUCAGUUUUGCAAGAUCAAUUUUUAUGAUCCAUGCUUUAAACCAGAUGUAAGAAGCAUUUAAGUCGAAGAGAAUAGCUCUGUGGGUUUGUGAAUGUUGAGUAGAAUCCCCAAAUUUCAUAUUAUCUAAUGACCAUUAUUGAUCUCUAUUGACCAUUAUUGGUUUCUAGUGACCAUUAUUUGUCACUAGAUAAUAUGAAAAAGGCCAUCAGAGGGCUUUUGUGGGAAUGAAGUUGAAGAAGCAGAAUUCUAUAUGAUGGAUGAACACCAUACAUCUUAAUUUUAUAAAGACCCAAAGAUAUUUAAAAUAGCCUAUCCUUUGUCUUGACAAGCAUGUUAGUUUUGAGACCACCUACUCUGAGUUUUGAUUUGGGAUAGUCGUUGUACUCAAGUAUCCUAAGACUAUAACAAGAACAGAAGUCUUAAUGAAAAUAUUCAUAUGUGCUUAUCAUUAAAGAAUUUCAGUAGUGAUAUAACAUCCUUAUAAAAGGAAAUGGCAUAUUUUUAAUUUUACAUCCCAUGUCUAAGAGCGCAACUUGAAAUCUAAAACAGAAUAGUGAUAGAUGCUGCUGAAGUAUCUCAGAAGCACUGAGAGAUAAACAAAAAAGUUAAAUUUGUAAUAAAAUCUCAUUAAUCAUAUGUAACUGGGGCUUCAGAAAAAUGAGUCAUCAAAUCUUUGGAAACUUUGAGGAUGUUUACUAAGACUUUAAAGUUGGACAUAUUCCAAUUGAAAAUGUUAUUCGCAAGUAAAAAGGGAUUUUUUUUCUUUUUGUCAGAGAUGCACUGAACAUAAACUAUUUAAUCUAGACUAUUUGCUAGGUGAUUUUUAGGUAACCAUAGUGACCACAUCUAAAGGAUUUGUAAAAAGUGUCUAUUGUAGCAGUUGAUUGCACCCUAUUGACCCAAAAGCAUUAAUUUGUAUUAGUGAGUAGAAAAUGAAAGGAGGUUGUGUAACAGAACAAAUAAUCUAGGGGUAAAUGUGGGAAGACAUAAGCAUAUACGUGCACACAUAGUCUAACCUCUCAGUGUGGCAGUCGGCUCAAUGUUCCCACCUCCACUGCAGCUCACAGGUAGGGGCUCAUGCACUGUAUUAGGAGUAGGCUAAUACAAAGGCUAGGGCUACUUAUGUCUUCAUGCAUUGUAAAGUGCAGUUGUAUUGCUUCUAGUAAUUUGAUCAAUAGAGGCAUUCAAAAUCUAUAAUGUUCAUUCUACAAUACAUGUUUUGAUCAAAUUGGUUUUUAAUUAAAUUUAGAAAACAACUAAAAUCUCCAUUCUAUUAUAUUAAAAAACAAGAAAUUUAACUAGACAUCUGGCUGUUAAAUGUCAUGUAGAUAAAGCAUUUAAGUAAUUAGUUUGUUUUUCAAUUUUUUAAUUUCAAUGUUUGCUAUCUUUAGAGUCAAAGUAGAUUAAGAAUUAGUCAUGAUAACAAUUUAUUUGAUUUAUGAAGAAAGUGUGACUCAAAAUAAUGAUCUAUCCAGUGUGUAAAAAGGUAAUUACUUUCAUGUCAGAAAUAGUUUUACAUCAUCUCUGCACUUGGUCUUGAGUUGUCAUAUAUAAAAUUAAAAACAUC